RNAcentral lists this ribosomal RNA (253 nucleotides) under uncultured bacterium. RNAcentral's name for it is "partial 16S ribosomal RNA". It matches the Rfam family "Bacterial small subunit ribosomal RNA", at positions 524 to 776 of the family's 1533-position model. The record is from RNAcentral.
UACGGGGGGGGCAAGCGUUGUUCGGAAUUACUGGGCGUAAAGGGCGCGUAGGCGGCCUUCUAAGUCGAACGUGAAAUCCCCGGGCUCAACCCGGGAACUGCGUCCGAUACUGGGAGGCUUGAAUCCGGGAGAGGGAUGUGGAAUUCCAGGUGUAGCGGUGAAAUGCGUAGAUAUCUGGAGGAACACCGGUGGCGAAGGCGGCAUCCUGGACCGGUAUUGACGCUGAGGCGCGAAAGCCAGGGGAGCAAACGGG